AACGCGAAGAACCUUACCAGGUCUUGACAUCCAAAGAACCUUUACGAAAGUAAGGGGUGCCUUCGGGAGCUUUGAGACAGGUGGUGCAUGGUUGUCGUCAGCUCGUGCCGUGAGAUGUUGGGUUAAGUCCCGCAACGAGCGCAACCCUUGCUAUUAGUUGCUAACAUUUCGGAUGAGCACUCUAAUGGGACUGCCCGUGACAAGCGGGAGGAAGGUGGGGAUGACGUCAAAUCAUCAUGCCCUUUAUGAUCUGGGCUACACACGUGCUACAAUGGAUGGUACAGAGAGCAGCGACACUGCGAGGUGGAGCCAAUCCCAUAAAAUCGGUCUCAGUCCGGAUUGGAGUCUGCAACUCGACUCCAUGAAGUUGGAAUCGCUAGUAAUCGCGGAUCAGCAUGCCGCGGUGAAUACGUUCCCGGGUCUUGUACACACCG
Molecule: ribosomal RNA, 434 nt
Filed under: uncultured bacterium
Lineage: Bacteria
Description: bacterial SSU rRNA
Rfam family: Bacterial small subunit ribosomal RNA
Source: RNAcentral